AAACAGGUGCUAAUACCGGAUAAGAAAGCGGAUCGCAUGAUCAGCUUUUAAAAGGCGGCGUAAGCUGUCGCUAUGGGAUGGCCCCGCGGUGCAUUAGCUAGUUGGUAAGGUAAAGGCUUACCAAGGCGAUGAUGCAUAGCCGAGUUGAGAGACUGAUCGGCCACAUUGGGACUGAGACACGGCCCAAACUCCUACGGGAGGCAGCAGGA
RNAcentral lists this ribosomal RNA (209 nucleotides) under uncultured Lactobacillus sp. RNAcentral's name for it is "partial 16S ribosomal RNA". It matches the Rfam family "Bacterial small subunit ribosomal RNA", at positions 154 to 354 of the family's 1533-position model. The record is from RNAcentral. Lineage: Bacteria; Bacillati; Bacillota; Bacilli; Lactobacillales; Lactobacillaceae.